GAAAACAGCUUAAGUCAAUUCCAAAGAAAAUUCCACGAGCUACAGGAAAACUGGACCUGUCCAAUAAUAAGUUGCUGAACUUGUCAGUAGGGGCCUUUAGUGACAACACGAAGCUGGAACAUCUGGACUUGUCCAACAACCAGUUACAAUAUUUACCACCAGGAGCGUUUGCUGACAUUGAGGUUUCCCCCUGGGAAGAU
Long non-coding RNA from Stylophora pistillata, 200 nucleotides. The record is from RefSeq and is a predicted model, not a curated record. NCBI's taxonomy places the organism in Eukaryota, Metazoa, Cnidaria, Anthozoa, Scleractinia, Pocilloporidae.